UACACUUGACAUACAGAGAACUUACCAGAGAUGGUUUGGUGCCUUCGGGAGCUCUGAUAC
Molecule: ribosomal RNA, 60 nt
Filed under: uncultured bacterium
Lineage: Bacteria
Description: partial 16S ribosomal RNA
Source: RNAcentral